GCUGCUCUGGCCGGUAGGUGUUCACCAUGCGCGUCCCACGGGGAGACCGAAGACCGCAGAACGCAGACAGCUGUCACAACGCAACAGAACCAGAGCAGAGCGGGUAUAUCAACGCACACAACGGACACACGACGCGGAACGGGGGUUUCAAACAGCGUCCACACGACGGACUCGUCACAGUGCGGCGUGGUGAGCGAGCCCUGGUAACGGAAGUAGUGUUCGAGAGUCUCCUCCGGUGGCACUAGCCGGCCCAGUGACACGCCGCCAAGCGUGCUGUUGCUCGCUUAAUUAGGGAGAAACAUUAACCCGCUAUCAGCACGGAUCCGGUUCAAAGGGACGCUCUGGAUAACAGCUGGAUAACACCACUGUUGUCCGGAUAACACCACUGUUAUCAAACGGCAAAGGUGAUUUAGUCUACGACGUUGAUUGAAGGUCUUUCAGGGCCGAUAUGAUGGGUUCGUAUUGCUUAUUCGGAGUGGGAGAUUCCUGGAAAUGCAAAGAAACAUGGGAGACAAACACGUAAGCCUGUACAGAGUUAUGUUAGGCCUACCUGAAAGAAAAACCCAAGAACUGCCACGCCUGUGUCGUCUGCCACAGCUUGGUCCAAAGUAUCAUAUUCUUCCUUUAUAUGGACAAUGUGCAUCUGCAAUUGCCGUUAACAUACACAGUUCAAUGCUAAUUCAUAUUACCAUAUGCAGAAGUUAUCUUUAUAACCUAGUGCUAUACAUUUUAGAGUGAAUCGACUCUGAUUGAUUUUGGUCACCUCCAUGGGGAACCGUUCUCCAUCAAUAGUAUGCUCGGACCCUGGGCCUCCAUCUUUCCCCCAGUGGAAGUGGAGCUGCAAGGCCUUAUAUGGCCCUGCCAGCUUUCCGCCUUGGAUCUUUACAUUUGAGGGUAGAUCUAGUUGAACUUGGAUCAAAAACAUCAAUACGUACAUAAAGUCGUGGAUUACUAUAUCUUUCAUAGUGAGUUAUCUAAAAGUUCAUCCGCAUUUCUUUUGAUCAUUUUUUAUGACUUCCAUGGUCAAUGUAUAAUGUUAGAUGACAAUAACGUAUUGUAAUAGAAACUGAGAUUUUCAGUUAAUUCGUUUUUUUUCGGCAAAUAAAAUGAUAUGCAGUAGCAAAACAAGGCUACUAUAUAAGUCAAAAUCUAUAAUAAAGACAUUGUAUAUAAUAUUAAAUAUUUUUUUUCUUCUGCAAUUAAAAUACUUCUAAACACAAACCGGUAUGUCCGUUGUUUAUGAUGCGACCUCUGAAAAUUUUCUGAUAGUUGAUGAGUUGUAACGGAACC
Molecule: long non-coding RNA, 1290 nt
Organism: Gadus morhua (Atlantic cod)
Lineage: Eukaryota; Metazoa; Chordata; Actinopteri; Gadiformes; Gadidae
Exons: 4
Source: RefSeq, a predicted model, not a curated record